This 253-nucleotide ribosomal RNA is filed under the name uncultured bacterium. RNAcentral's name for it is "partial 16S ribosomal RNA". It matches the Rfam family "Bacterial small subunit ribosomal RNA", at positions 524 to 776 of the family's 1533-position model. The record is from RNAcentral.
GACGAACCGUGCGAACGUUGUUCGGAAUCACUGGGCUUAAAGGGCGCGUAGGCGGCGCGUCAAGUCGGGGGUGAAAGCGUUCGGCUUAACCGGACAAGGGCCCCCGAUACUGACACGCUCGAGGGAGGCAGGGGCAGACGGAACUUCCGGUGGAGCGGUGAAAUGCGUUGAUAUCGGAAGGAACGCCGGUGGCGAAAGCGGUCUGCUGGACCUCUACUGACGCUGAGGCGCGAAAGCCAGGGGAGCGAACGGG